RNAcentral lists this ribosomal RNA (465 nucleotides) under uncultured bacterium. RNAcentral describes it as "partial 16S ribosomal RNA". It matches the Rfam family "Bacterial small subunit ribosomal RNA", at positions 338 to 795 of the family's 1533-position model. The record is from RNAcentral.
CCUACGGGUGGCAGCAGUAGGGAAUCUUCCACAAUGGGCGAAAGCCUGAUGGAGCAACGCCGCGUGGGUGAAGAAGGUCUUCGGAUCGUAAAACCCUGUUGUUAGAGAAGAAAGUUCGUGAGAGUAACUGUUCACGUUUCGACGGUAUCUAACCAGAAAGCCACGGCUAACUACGUGCCAGCAGCCGCGGUAAUACGUAGGUGGCAAGCGUUAUCCGGAUUUUUUGGGCGUAAGGGGAACGCAGGCGGUCUUUUAAGUCUGAUGGGAAAGCCCUCGGCUUAACCGGAGUAGUGCAUUGGAUACUGGGAGACUUGAGUGCAGAAGAGGAGAGUGGAACUCCAUGUGUAGCGGUGAAAUGCGUAGAUAUAUGGAAGAACACCAGUGGCGAAGGCGGCUCUCUGGUCUGUAACUGACGCUCAUGCACGAAAGCGUGGGUAUCGAACAGGAUUAGAUACCCCAGUAGUC